This 301-nucleotide ribosomal RNA is filed under the name uncultured bacterium. RNAcentral's name for it is "partial 16S ribosomal RNA". It matches the Rfam family "Bacterial small subunit ribosomal RNA", at positions 509 to 807 of the family's 1533-position model. The record is from RNAcentral.
CAGCCGCCACGGGAAUACGUAGGGUGCGAGCGUUAAUCGGAAUUACUGGGCGUAAAGCGUGCGCAGGCGGUUUUGUAAGACAGGCGUGAAAUCCCCGGGCUCAACCUGGGAAUGGCGCUUGUGACUGCAAAGCUAGAGUGCGGCAGAGGGGGAUGGAAUUCCGCGUGUAGCAGUGAAAUGCGUAGAUAUGCGGAGGAACACCGAUGGCGAAGGCAAUCCCCUGGGCCUGCACUGACGCUCAUGCACGAAAGCGUGGGGAGCAAACAGGAUUAGAUACCCGAGUAGUCCCUGUCUCUUAUAC